This 685-nucleotide long non-coding RNA is filed under the name Nicotiana benthamiana. RNAcentral describes it as "long non-coding RNA (NBEN_LNC037159)". Lineage: Eukaryota; Viridiplantae; Streptophyta; Magnoliopsida; Solanales; Solanaceae. The record is from RNAcentral.
AUAUGUGAAGGACCAAAUCCACGGUUCUAUUCGAAUUGCUGAAUAAAUGACCAAUUCUCAUGUUGAUUUCAAGUUUAGCUUAUUUCCAUACUUGUUAGUUCACAUGUUGGAUUGUAUAGUAAUAGUAUUUGAUAUUAAUUGCAUAUAACAGGACUGUUUAACCGGAUUGUAUAAUUGGGAUGUGUAAUAGAUCUUAAUUAUAGACUAUGUUAGUUCGUAUGCUAGCAUAUGUAUAGCUUCUGAUGACUGUAUAAUCUAGACUAUUGUAGAUCGCAAAAAAAAUUAUAUUUCAAUAAAAUAGGAUCCUUGAAUUUGAUGUUAAGCAAUUCAGUUUCGUGUUCUAAAAGAUUACGCUAGUUUAGAUCUGAAGAGCAAAUCUAGAAUUAAAUUGAUAAUUGUACUAAAUUUGAAUGUUUCUUUCUGUUUGUUAUUCCAAUAGAUGGGUCUGAAUUGUUUGAGGUUGUUUCAAUAAUUUUGAUUGGGCUUAUUCAUAAGCCCAAGGCUAAUAGCCCACACCACUUGUGUUGAGCUACAACAUGCAGAUGCCAGGCCUCAUCCCAGGCCAACUUCUUCUUCUCAAUUGGACUUGACUCGAGGCCCAAAGGUUGGUAGCAGUCAGAAAUGAUUUUACCUUAUGCUACUGGCCAAAUUCAAAAAAAUAACGUCAAGGACCUGAACUUACAUU